UUAGAGUUUGAUCCUGGCUCAGAUUGAACGCUGGCGGCAGGCCUAACACAUGCAAGUCGAGCGGAUGAGGAGAGCUUGCUCUCCGAUUCAGCGGCGGACGGGUGAGUAAUGCCUAGGAAUCUGCCUGGUAGUGGGGGACAACGUUUCGAAAGGAACGCUAAUACCGCAUACGUCCUACGGGAGAAAGUGGGGGAUCUUCGGACCUCACGCUAUCAGAUGAGCCUAGGUCGGAUUAGCUAGUUGGUAGGGUAAUGGCCUACCAAGGCGACGAUCCGUAACUGGUCUGAGAGGAUGAUCAGUCACACUGGAACUGAGACACGGUCCAGACUCCUACGGGAGGCAGCAGUGGGGAAUAUUGGACAAUGGGCGAAAGCCUGAUCCAGCCAUGCCGCGUGUGUGAAGAAGGUCUUCGGAU
Molecule: ribosomal RNA, 415 nt
Filed under: uncultured bacterium
Lineage: Bacteria
Description: bacterial SSU rRNA
Rfam family: Bacterial small subunit ribosomal RNA
Source: RNAcentral